Molecule: non-coding RNA, 21 nt
Filed under: Caenorhabditis elegans
Lineage: Eukaryota; Metazoa; Nematoda; Chromadorea; Rhabditida; Rhabditidae
Source: RNAcentral
UUUGUUUCUUUUUCGGAAUUA